Molecule: ribosomal RNA, 331 nt
Filed under: uncultured bacterium
Lineage: Bacteria
Description: bacterial SSU rRNA
Rfam family: Bacterial small subunit ribosomal RNA
Source: RNAcentral
GACGAACGCUGGCGGCGUGCCUAAUACAUGCAAGUCGAGCGAGCGGAACCAACAGAUUUACUUCGGUAAUGACGUUGGGAAAGCGAGCGGCGGAUGGGUGAGUAACACGUGGGGAACCUGCCCCUAAGUCUGGGAUACCAUUUGGAAACAGGUGCUAAUACCGGAUAAUAAAGCAGAUCGCAUGUCUAGAGUUUGAAAGAUGGUUCUGCUAUCACUCUUGGAUGGACCUGCGGUGCAUUAGCUAGUUGGUAAGGUAACGGCUUACCAAGGCAAUGAUGCAUAGCCGAGUUGAGAGACUGAUCGGCCACAUUGGGACUGAGACACGGCCCAA